RNAcentral lists this ribosomal RNA (320 nucleotides) under uncultured bacterium. RNAcentral's name for it is "bacterial SSU rRNA". It matches the Rfam family "Bacterial small subunit ribosomal RNA", at positions 85 to 422 of the family's 1533-position model. The record is from RNAcentral.
CGCAAGGGGAGUGGCAGACGGGUGAGUAACACGUGGGAACGUGCCCCAAGGUACGGAACAACUCCGGGAAACUGGAGCUAAUACCGUAUGUGCCCGAGAGGGGAAAGAUUUAUCGCCUUGGGAUCGGCCCGCGUCUGAUUAGCUAGUUGGUAGGGUAAUGGCCUACCAAGGCUACGAUCAGUAGCUGGUCUGAGAGGAUGGCCAGCCACACUGGGACUGAGACACGGCCCAGACUCCUACGGGAGGCAGCAGUGGGGAAUAUUGGACAAUGGGCGAAAGCCUGAUCCAGCCAUGCCGCGUGAGUGAUGAAGGCCUUAGGG